Molecule: long non-coding RNA, 238 nt
Filed under: Setaria italica (foxtail millet)
Lineage: Eukaryota; Viridiplantae; Streptophyta; Magnoliopsida; Poales; Poaceae
Description: long non-coding RNA (SITA_LNC004522)
Source: RNAcentral
UCCACAAAAACCUAAAGAAAUUUUUUUUAGGUUAGAUCCUUGUCCCAGCAACCGUUUAGCCUCGCACAUUCUUUCAAUAAGUGUCUUUGUUGAAUUUGUGUGCCUACUCGUUCAAUUGUUGCUGGUUACUUGUGUUUAAUCUCUUGUUUCUCGUUUUUCCUCUAAACCCUAGUUUUCGCCGCCGCCGCCGUUCCGCUGCUCGCCAACCCUACCACGCCACGCCCACCGCCCCCCUUCG